This 147-nucleotide ribosomal RNA is filed under the name Hesperocyparis nevadensis. Its description in RNAcentral is "5.8S rRNA". It matches the Rfam family "5.8S ribosomal RNA". Rfam says of the family: 5.8S ribosomal RNA (5.8S rRNA) is a component of the large subunit of the eukaryotic ribosome. It is transcribed by RNA polymerase I as part of the 45S precursor that also contains 18S and 28S rRNA. Functionally, it is thought that 5.8S rRNA may be involved in ribosome translocation. The record is from RNAcentral. Lineage: Eukaryota; Viridiplantae; Streptophyta; Pinopsida; Cupressales; Cupressaceae.
AACGGAUAUCUCGGCUCUCGCCAACGAUGAAGAAUGUAGCGAAAUGCGAUACUUAGUGUGAAUUGCAGGAAUCCCGUGAAUCAUCAAGUCUUUGAACGCAAGUUGCGCCCGAGGCCUCGGCCAAGGGCACGUCUGCUUGGGCGUCGC